Molecule: ribosomal RNA, 508 nt
Filed under: uncultured bacterium
Lineage: Bacteria
Description: bacterial SSU rRNA
Rfam family: Bacterial small subunit ribosomal RNA
Source: RNAcentral
UAGGGAAUAUUGGUCAAUGGAUGCAAGUCUGAACCAGCCAUGCCGCGUGCAGGAAGAAGGCCUUCUGGGUUGUAAACUGCUUUUGCCGGGGGAUAAAAUUCCCAUGCGUGGGAAAUUGAAGGUACCCGGUGAAUAAGCCACGGCUAACUACGUGCCAGCAGCCGCGGUAAUACGUAGGUGGCAAGCGUUGUCCGGAUUUAUUGGGUUUAAAGGGUGCGUAGGCGGCCUAUUAAGUCAGUGCUGAAAUAUCCCGGCUUAACCGGGAGGGUGGCAUUGAUACUGAUGGGCUUGAGUGGAAUCGAGGUAGGCGGAAUUGACGGUGUAGCGGUGAAAUGCUUAGAUAUCGUCAAGAACACCGAUAGUGUAGACAGCUUACUAGACUUCAACUGACGCUGAGGCACGAAAGUGUGGGGAUCAAACAGGAUUAGAUACCCUGGUAGUCCACACUGUAAACGUUGAUUACUCGCUGUGUGCGAUAUACAGUACGCGGCUUAGCGAAAGCGAUAAG